GAACUCCAGAUGGACAUAAUGACCUGGAAGAGAACAAAAUCUUUAUUGAUAAAAUCUGUAGAUGACACGGAGAUUGAGGGUGUAGUAAAUAAUGAAGAGGAUAGAUCACUGAUACAGAGCGAUCUGGAUCUCUUGGCACAGUGACACUUUCUACCAGAAGGGCAAAGUUCAUCCAUGUAGGUGACAGAGCUGUCUUGUGGGGUCGGCCUGAGACUGUGGAACAAAUUCUCACCGGAACUAAGGACCUUCAGACACUUCACCAGCUUCCAUUCCACAUAAAAGGUGACAUCAAAGCAGAAUUUUCAGAAGCCUUCAUGAUCCAUCGCUAACUUUGAGUGCUCAGUAACUGACCUUCCAAUGAUCUGUUGUAUGCCAUCCAUCUGUCUCCUUGCUGGUCAUCUGCUACCAUAAUGACCCUCCACCAUUCCUUCUGUAAUAACUUUCUCAAGGAUUUUCCCAUCUCUACACCUAAUGUGACCAAAGUACAUAAUUUGCAACUGUUGAUAUCCAACAUCAGGAUUUGCUUCUCUCCAAUAAUAUUUCUAACAUAGGCAUUCAUCUUUUUUUCUAUCCAGGAGAUACACAAGAAUCUUUGCCAGCACUACAUUUCAAAAGCUUCAGUUUUCUUCUUAUCAAAAGCAUUAACUUCCCAUUAUUCACAUCCAUAAAUGGCUAUGGAAAAAGUUAGAUUUUUCACUAGCCGCACCU
This is a long non-coding RNA of Mauremys mutica (yellowpond turtle), 708 nucleotides long. RefSeq lists it as uncharacterized. The transcript has 3 exons. Lineage: Eukaryota; Metazoa; Chordata; Testudines; Geoemydidae. The record is from RefSeq and is a predicted model, not a curated record.